This 559-nucleotide ribosomal RNA is filed under the name Phoma sp. BEA-2010. RNAcentral's name for it is "eukaryotic LSU rRNA". The stretch from base 242 to 395 matches the Rfam family "5.8S ribosomal RNA". Lineage: Eukaryota; Fungi; Ascomycota; Dothideomycetes; Pleosporales; Didymellaceae. The record is from RNAcentral.
CGUAGGUGAACCUGCGGAAGGAUCAUUACCUUUCAGUACAGAAGCGUUGUGUUGGUUGAGUUGUGCCGGUUGAGUCUCGCUGACAAGUGGGAUUCCUGGUGGCAACUCCCUUCAUAAUUCUCCCUGUCUAUCAUCCUUGUCUUUUGCGUACUAUUGUUUCCUCGGUGGGCUUGCCCACCGGUUGGACAACCUUAUAACCUAUUUAAUUUUCAAUCAGCGUCUGAAAUAAUAUAAUAAUUACAACUUUCAACAACGGAUCUCUUGGUUCUGGCAUCGAUGAAGAACGCAGCGAAAUGCGAUAAGUAGUGUGAAUUGCAGAAUUCAGUGAAUCAUCGAAUCUUUGAACGCACAUUGCGCCCCUUGGUAUUCCAUGGGGCAUGCCUGUUCGAGCGUCAUUUGUACCCUCAAGCUUUGCUUGGUGUUGGGUGUUUGUCUUUUCCACGCGAUCAGACUCGCCUUAAAAUAAUUGGCAGCCAGUGUUUUGGUUUUGAAGCGCAGCACAAGUCGCGAUUCAGCUUAUAUCACUAGUUUCCAUUAAGCAUUUUAUCACUUUGACCUC